Molecule: unclassified non-coding RNA, 436 nt
Filed under: Hevea brasiliensis (rubber tree)
Lineage: Eukaryota; Viridiplantae; Streptophyta; Magnoliopsida; Malpighiales; Euphorbiaceae
Source: RNAcentral
ACAUAUAUCCAUAUCUUCUUCCAUUGAUAGUAGCUCUUCAGGAGGAAGUCCAUCAACAUGAGGAGAUUCUUUGUUAUUCAUACUUGGAGUCUGGGACUGCUCUUCUUUAUGAGACUCAGAAUUCACAUUUUUUUCUUCCAAUCUAUUAUUAUCAUGUAUUCCACUUUUAUCUUGAGAUUCUUUAGCUGACAACUGUGAAUCUCUUCCACCAGAGUCCCUCUGGCUGUGCUUGUCCUCCUGACCUUUAUCACCAAACUGACAGUUCCGCUUCUCAAUUUUUCCACUUUUUCGACUUGCUUCUCUAAGAUUACUAGGCCUACCCUGAUCAAGUGGGGAAUGCUCCAUAAAAUUUGGAGUUCGAUCCCUGCGAUCAUGAUACUGGUCCUGUGAGAACCUCUCUAAAUGAGUAGGACUUCUCCUAUAAUCAUGAUGACGG